Non-coding RNA from Pelobates cultripes (western spadefoot toad), 312 nucleotides. NCBI's taxonomy places the organism in Eukaryota, Metazoa, Chordata, Amphibia, Anura, Pelobatidae. The record is from the annotation of a GenBank genome assembly.
AGACAUUCACGCUUUUUGUGCAAAGAAAAAAUUGUUUAAUGAAACGUUUUCAAUUCCAUUUUCUAUGAUCCUAAGUUUAACAAAUUGACCCCUGAUGAACAUAAUUUGUUUCUACAAAGUCUCUGUAAAAACAAAAGUUUUAUAAACUGUGUGGGGGUUCAUUCAUUAGAUACCAAAUCCAAAUCAAUAGAGAAUUAAAUUCCAAGAUUUGACCUGUGACUAUACACAGUUGGAGAAUUUCCCAAAUCAGCUAUUUUUGUCCCAAAUUUAGCAAUUUAGCUUUUAUUGAGUACAUUUCAGUGCUUAGCAAAC